Molecule: ribosomal RNA, 292 nt
Filed under: uncultured bacterium
Lineage: Bacteria
Description: partial 16S ribosomal RNA
Rfam family: Bacterial small subunit ribosomal RNA
Source: RNAcentral
UCCGUGCCAGCAGCCGCGGUAAUACGGAGGGGUUAGCGUUGUUCGGAAUUACUGGGCGUAAAGCGCGCGUAGGCGGAUUAGUCAGUUAGAGGUGAAAUCCCAGGGCUCAACCCUGGAACUGCCUUUAAUUACUGCUAGUCUUGAGUUCGAGAGAGGUGAGUGGAAUUCCGAGUGUAGAGGUGAAAUUCGUAGAUAUUCGGAGGAACACCAGUGGCGAAGGCGGCUCACUGGCUCGAUACUGACGCUGAGGUGCGAAAGUGUGGGGAGCAAACAGGAUUAGAUACCCUGGUAG